CCAGGGCUGCUCUCUCUCUAGAUCUGUUUCUCCUUUAGUCUAGUUUGGCAGUGCUUAGGCGAAGCCCUGCUGGAUUAGUUCACCACCACCACCACACUGCCGUGCUGGAGAACUCAUCUACCUCUCCGUCCCUCUUGCUGGAUCUAGAAGGCGGGGAUCGUCAUCGAGUUGUACGUGUGCUGAACGCGGAGGUGUCAUCCGUUCGGCACUAGAUCGGGAUGGGAUCGCGGGACAGAUCGUGAUGAGAUCGCGGGACGGG
This 259-nucleotide long non-coding RNA is filed under the name Hordeum vulgare. Its description in RNAcentral is "long non-coding RNA (HVUL_LNC021686)". Lineage: Eukaryota; Viridiplantae; Streptophyta; Magnoliopsida; Poales; Poaceae. The record is from RNAcentral.